GUCAGGACGAACGCUGGCGGCGUGCUUAACACAUGCAAGUCGAACGGAAAGGCCCUGCUUUGUGGGGUGCUCGAGUGGCGAACGGGUGAGUAACACGUGAGUAACCUGCCCUUGACUUUGGGAUAACUUCAGGAAACGUGGGGCUAAUACCGGAUAGGAGCUCCUGCUGCAUGGUGGGGGUUGGAAAGUUUCGGCGGUUGGGGAUGGACUCGCGGCUUAUCAGCUUGUUGGUGGGGUAGUGGCUUACCAAGGCUUUGACGGGUAGCCGGCCUGAGAGGGUGACCGGCCACAUUGGGACUGAGAUACGGCCCAGACUCCUACGGGAGGCAGCAGUGGGGAAUAUUGCACAAUGGGCGGAAGCCUGAUGCAAGCAACGCCGCGUGCGGGAUGACGGCCUUCGGGUUGUAAACCGCUUUCGCCUGUGACGAAGCGUGAGUGACGGUAAUGGGUAAAGAAGCACCGGCUAACUACGUGCCAGCCGCAGC
Molecule: ribosomal RNA, 485 nt
Filed under: uncultured bacterium
Lineage: Bacteria
Description: bacterial SSU rRNA
Rfam family: Bacterial small subunit ribosomal RNA
Source: RNAcentral